Molecule: long non-coding RNA, 1232 nt
Organism: Ornithodoros turicata
Lineage: Eukaryota; Metazoa; Arthropoda; Arachnida; Ixodida; Argasidae
Exons: 5
Source: RefSeq, a predicted model, not a curated record
CGUUACGACGUAGUGAUAUCUUCAGAGCAAGACUGAGCGUGCCACCGACAAAGAAGAAAAGAAAAAGUUGUUAAAAGCGAUGUUGUGCCGACCGUCUUUCUAUGACUCCUGUGGAGAAGAUAUAUGAAGAAUGAAACGCAUGCAUAUUCGCACAUCGAUGGACAUUCACACGUGGCACAAUGACAGCUGCGCAGACUAGGUUCAUUCAAUGCCUCAAGACAGACUGGCUUGAGUCUCAAUCCCACCUGUGCACUCUCUCUAAUAUCGGAUCAGCUCAGUGCCCUGGUAAUUUAUGGCACAAAGGACACCUGUACAGGUGUACUUUAACUGGAAACAACUGCUACUCACAACGCAUCAGCACUGCACAGUGUUGAGCAGCGGCUUUCGUAUCUACAUACUUGAUACCGCUGUACCAUCUGAAGGGGAGGAGCAUGCCACACCUCGUUCUCGGCCUGCAGAAUCCAUGCGAACAAGCCAAAUGCUAUACAGAGGUGCUGGGGCUCAUACGGUGCUAUCCUACGUUCAAGAUCACCAACGAAGCUCCGGAUGUUGAAGUGCACCCUGCUCGUGCAUGUGGUGGCAAACUGAUACUUGCAGAAGCUGUGGAGCAACAGAGUGAAGUAGGAUGAAACGAAUGCCACAAAAAAAAAAGAAAAAAGAAGAGGAAAUCUAUUACCUAAGCAUCUACAACCGAUUGCAUGUAACCCUCCUUUCAGGGGUUCCAUGAGUGAAGAGUUCAAUGCUGCUGAAUCACCCGUGUGUGCCACUCUGAGACCUACCACCGCAGCUAUUCAAAACGGCCCUUUUGAGGCAACCCCACGCUUCUACAAGGGGAGAGCACUGCAAGAAGAACCAAAGUGCAUUCAGUUAAGCUUUGUGCCUGUCUGUUAUUUCUUGGAUACCUGCCUUUUCACUACAACUAUGAAAACAGCUACAGCAGUGACACCCCACUUGAGUGCUGCAGUUGCAGAAAUAUCUUGGCUUCGAUUUCCCCUUUUGGUCUCAGCAAGCAGAAAUUCCACAACAGCAUCUAUAGUGACCUAAUAUGUCUCUAUCCCAAUAAAUGGUACAUCCUCAGACAACAUAUUACUCAAUUAGGUAUGCACACCCAAGGUAGGUAUGCAUCAAGGGAAGUAACAGGCAGCAAAACACAUCUGAGAAACUGGAAUAUGAAUGUGCAAAAUUUCAUUUUUCCUGAACGUCAACGUUUGCACAAGGACGGUUUUGAGUAG